UCUAUUUCUGACAUUUGUUUUGUAUUUAAAAGAAAUGUUAAAACAUUUCCAUAAAUGCUGAAAAUGACUGUGGCAUCUAGAUAUAAUAUUCUAGAGGCCCUCACCAAUUCCCAACAUUUUUGGAGCCAUUAAAAUAUUUAUAUAAUUUAAAUAGCUCCAAAUCAAAUAUUUAGGCAUUGAUUCAAAAAUCCAAAAUGUGUAGUAAAAAUGUGCAUCACCUCUGGUUGUUGUUCCCAACAUUAUCCAAAGAGCAUGAACAUUUUUUAAAAGCAUUUUGGGUUCAUUGAAAAUCCACUUUAAAGUUGAACCUAUUUGAAUUUGCUUUGGUGCUAGGGUUUGAAACAUCCCCAUUUCGAUUUCAUUUGAAAUUUAAACAUGGUGCACAAAGCAAGCCUAGGAUCAUACCAGAACUAGGGAUGUGACAGCUCGCCCCCACUCGAAAAAAUCUCGUCCCGAGAUUCAGGAGUUGGCGGAAAGAAAGCGGGGUACUCAAGUCGAAGACGAUCUUCUCGCUCCCAAGUAGCUUCUCUCUCGGAAUGAUCGGACCAUAGAACCUUGAGAAAUUUGAUGUUAUGACAUCGAGUGACACGCUCUACUUGAUCCAGAAUGCGAACGGGGUACUCUCGAUAAGUGAGGUUAUCUUGGAGAUCAAGCGUUUUGUGGUCCACUCCGCGGAUGGGAUCCGAGAAGCAACGCCUGAGUUGAGAGACGUGGAAGACAUCAUGAACUCGAGAAAGAUGUGGGGGUAGUUCCAACUGGUAGGCAACCUCUCCUCGUUUAGCGAGAAUGCGAAAAGGACCGAUGUAACAAGGAGCCAACUUGCCCUUGAUACCGAAACGAUGGGUACCCUUCAAAGGAGUAACCCGAAGGUAAGCCUUGUCGCCAACUUCAUAAGCCACUUCCUUAUGACGACGGUCAUACUGGCUCUUUUGACGAGAUUGGGCUGUUUUCAAAUUCUCACGAAUGAUGCGAACUUGCUCUUCUGCCUCCUGGAUCAUAUCCGGUCCAAAGAAUUGUCUUUCGCUGGUUUCUGGCCAGUUCAAAGGUGUUCGACAUCUUCAUCCAUAUAGGAUCUCGAAGGGUGCUUUCUUAAGACUGCAUUGGUAGCUAUUGUUAUAAGCAAACUCGGCAAAGGGAAGACAUUUCUCCCAAUCCAUACCGAAUGAGAUAACGCAAGCUCUAAGCAUGUCUUCGAGAAUUUGGUUGACCCUUUCCACCUGACCACUUGAUUGAGGGUGGAAAGCGGUACUGAAGGAAAGAUGGGUGCCCAUGGCGUUUGGAAACUUUCCCAGAAAUGAGAGGUGAAAAGACUGCCACGGUCUGAAUUGAUCUCUAGUGGAACACCAUGGAGUGACACUAUUCGGGAGAUAUAUAAGUCAGCGAGCUAACUAGCAGUGAUACUCUCUCGAACAGGUAGGAAGUGAGCCACUUUGGAGAGACGAUCAAUGACUACGAAGAUAGCAUUAUUUCCUUUCUUGGUCCUAGGAAAGCCGGUGAUGAAGCCCAUACAAACUUUGUCCCAUUUCCACUCAGGAAUAGCUAAAGGUUGAAGGGUGCCAGCAGGUCUUUGAUGCUCUGCCUUAACGCGACGACAAACGUCACAGUUGGCAAUAUACUAAGCGAUUUCUCUCUUCAUCCUAGUCCACCAAAACCUCUGGCGUAGGUCCUGAUACAUCUUUGUACUACCGGGAUGAAUCGUGAGAGGGGAUUCAUGGGCCUCCUUAAGGAUCAGUUGCUGCAUCUGUUGACAUUUGGGAACCACCAAACGGUUACCAAAGUAAACAACACCUCGUUCAUCCAUAGAGAAACAGCCAGCAACUCCCUUGGAAAUAUUCUUCUUGAUCCAGGAGAUUCCCGUAUCAUGCUUCUGAGCCUCUAUGAUCUGAUCCGUAAGGGUAGGUUUCGCCACCAAGGUAGAAAGGAAACCCUGAGGAGCUAUGUGAAGGUUAAGCUUACAGAAUUCCUCAUGGAGGGGUGGUUGACAUUGUUGCAACAUGAGGUUAUUGCAAUAGUAUUUACGACUUAAAGCAUCAGCCAUGACAUUGGCUUUGCCUGGGGUGUAGGUGAUUCCUAAGUCAUAAUCCGAGAUCAACUCCAACCAAUGUCUCUGUCUGAGAUUCAGAUCCGGUUGGGUGAAGAUAUACUUGAGACUCUGAUGGUCAGUGUAGAUUUCGCAACGGUUACCAAGAAGGUAAUGUCGCCAAGUCUUGAGUGCAUAGACUACGACUGCAAGCUCCAGAUCAUGUGUAGGAUAAUUUUCCUCAUGUGGAUGCAACUGUCGAGAUGCAUAGGCAAUCACAUGACGAUCCUGCAUAAGAAUGCAACCUAGUCCUUGACGCGAAGCAUCGCAAUAGAUAACAAAGUCUUUAGUGAAAUCCGGUGGCACGAGUAUGGGCGCAGAAGUCAGGCGUCUUUUCAGUUCGUGAAAACUGUGCUCACACUGUUGGGUCCACUCAAACCUUUUAUCUUUCUUGAGAAGCUCCGUGAGGGGUUUGGCCACUUUGGAGAAGUCUUCAACGAAACGGCGACAAUAACUAGCUAGACCAAGGAAACUCCUAACUUGUUUGACUAUUUCAGGUGGAGUCCAAUCGAGAACGGCUUUGACUCUCUCGGGAUUUAUAGCAAUGCCCUUACCAGAGAUCUUGUGGCCUAGAUAGGUCACUUCUGGCAACCAAAAUUCACACUUGGAGAACUUGGCAUAAAGGCGAUGCUCUCUGAGUUUUUCUAACACAAGCCUAAGAUGUUCGGCAUGCUCUUCCUCGUUCUUCGAGUAAAUAAGAAUAUCAUCGAGAUAAACCACGACGAACUUAUCUAAGUACUCCAUAAAGAUCGAGUUCAUCAAGCCGGAGAAAGUAGCUGGAGCAUUGGUUAGGCCGAAAGACAUCACGGUGUACUCGUAUUGACCAUAACGAGUGACAAAGGCCGUUUUGGGGAUGUCCCCGUUUCUGAUUUUGAUUUGGUGGUAGCCUAACCUCAAAUCCAUCUUGGAAAAGACUGAGGAUCCAGCGAGCUGAUCAUACAGGUCGUUGAUCCUCGGGAGCGGAUACUUGUUCUUUAUCGUGACCAAAUUAACGGGACGAUAAUCUACAACCAUUCAAUCCGUACCAUCCUUCUUCUUGACGAAGAGGACAGGACAAGCCCAAGGAGAAGAACUGGGACAGCUGAAACCCUUUUGCAAGGACUCAUCAAGUUAUUUCUUAAGCUCGGCUAACUCCAAAGGUGCCAUCUUGUAUGGUCUCCUAGAGAUUGGAACAGUUCCUGGGAUAAGAUCUAUGACAAACUCUACAUCUCUGUCAGGUGGGACACCUGGCAGUUCUUCUGGAAAGACAUCCGGGAAGUCACGGACUACCGGAAUAUCUUCAAGGUCUGGAAGAGGGCUGGCAUUAAGCGAAUAGAGUUGGCGCCUUGCAACUCUGGUGGAGACAGUGACUAUUUUGCCAGAUGGAUGUGUAAGUUGAACAGAUCUAGUGUAACAAUCGAUCUUGGCAUGAUGAGCUGUCAUCCAGUCCAUACCCAAGAUGAUGUUAAUAUCUGAGGACCUGAGAGAUAUCAAAGGAGCAAGGAAUACCAGUCUGUCAACAAGGAUUUCAUUACCAUGGCUUACCUUGGAGGUUUGCCAUUUGGAACCAGGAGUCUGGAUUAUUAGUGGAGUUGGCAUAUCACAAAAUGACAUGUCGUGCAACCGAGCAUAACCUUCGGAUACGAAGGAGUGGGAUGCUCCAGUAUUGAACAGAACUGAAGCUGGGUGACAAUUGACAAGAAGUGUACCCAGUACGACAUCGGGAUCAUCUUGAACUUCUGAAGCUGAGGCAUGGUGCACACAUGCUCAUUCAAUGGAGGCUGGCUUGGUACUAAUCAUCUUGACUGAUGUCUUUUCACGGCCAGCAGACCUCUCAGACUGGAGUGGAGUAUAACUGGACUGAGGGCAGUCAUGUGCGUAGUGUCCUGGUUCUCCGCAGGUAAAGCAAGUUCCUGGGGUAGGACGCGGACCUACAUUGGCAAGUGGUCCACUAAUAGGCCUGGGUGGAGCAUGUUGCUGAGUUGGGUGAGGCGCUACAUCGGAUGGCCUCGGUGCAUAUCCAGGUGGAAGAGCUGAGUUCGGAAUCCAAAUCCGUCGCUUCUGAGAGCCAGAGCGGAAGGAAGAACCCAGAUCACGGUUGUGCUUACGAGACUCCUCGUAAGUGAAUUGAGCUGUCUCUGCAUUAAUGGCCUUAUUCACAAGAGCCUGGAAAGUAUCACAAUGAUGCAGGUGGAGAUCACGACGCAACUUAGGGUUGAGACCCUUCCGGAACCUAGCCUGUUUCUUAGCGUCCGUGGACACUUCUUCUGUAGCAUAGCGGGUGAGGUUUCCAAACUCCCUACUGUAAGCAUCAACAGGCAGCUUACCCUGGGUAAAACUACAGAACUCUUCCCUCUUGCGGUCAAUGAGAGCCUGAGGAAUGUGGUGCUCACGAAAAGCCUCGGUGAAAUCCCUCCAGCUAGGAAUCUGACCAGCUGGAAGCAUAGCCUCAUAGCUCUGCCACCAAAUACUAGCAGGACCUUCCAGGUGAUAGGUAGCAUAGGUGACCUUGUCACUAUCAGCGACGUUCGUAGAAUGCAACUUGUGAGUGAUGCUUCGGAGCCAGUCAUCCGCAUCGAGUGGCUCAAUGGAAUGAUGGAAGGUGGGUGGUUUCAGACCAAUGAAGUUGGUGAUGGAAAUCAACUUCUUACGCUGAUGUGCGGUGUUCUGCUCAAUCUGUGCCAGCAAGCGGUUAGUCUCACGCUUGUUCCUCUUGGAUGCUAACAAGAACUCUGCCAUCAAAGGCUGAUCAGGAGGAUCCUCAUCCCUACCAUAUCCGUGGUUCUUGCUAUGAGCAACUGAACCUCGGUUAGCAGACGACAUCCUGGCAUAGAAACCAGGGAAACAAGGAUGGAACUAGCAUCGACAUAGGGAUGCGGAAUGUAAUGCAAAAGCAUUGGAUACUCAUGAAAUCCUGGGACAAUUUCGGCAGCAUAACGGUUGUAAAUGCUCAAAAGGAUUUUGAGACAUUCAUCAAAGGAAUAGCAUGAUCAAUCAGCAUCAUAAUUUCAAGGUUCUAGGUCAACUGAUGGCACACGGAAGUAGCGGAACUGUAAGGAGACACAACCCAACAAUCCUAAGACUUUACGGUUUAGUAACACGUCAUCCUGAAAGAUAGAGGAGAAGCCUAGGCCUUAACCCUCGUUGAAAAGAAGAGGCUACCUCAGAAAGAAUGACAUGAGGUAAAGGAGUAAAAAGAGCCUUACGUUCCCUUCCACAAUCAAUUCCCUUAUAUAACUAAAGCAUUUCUAGACUCAACUUCGACCAGUUUGGCUCGAUAAUCCUACAGUCAGUCAAGCUCUGAUACCAACGCUGUCGGGACCCCAGUCCCAAGUCACACCGAUCUAGCAUCUAACACUUCAUAUCACUUUGCGGCCUCACACACGGUAUUCCCACGGGUGCCACCUUACCUGGCCUGGGACCAUUUGCGCCUUUUGGCUCACGUAUAUGAUAGUGUCGCUAGCAUCCAUAUGACAGAGAACCCGGGCCGACAUGACUAGUUGUGAACCCAAAGUAGCAUUAACUUACAGGGACAGGCAUACAUGAAUCAACCUCGAGCAUGUCGGUCAACAGCGUAUGAAUCCGGGCUGUAGCACUGGGCUUACAGGACUCCGGGAACCCGGGAUGUAGCAGGCUAGACAGGACUCCGGAUGUCACCGCGUGACAUUUCCCCAAAGGGACAGACACAGGGACGAAGUGAAUCACAUGCCGGCCAGUCAAGUGUUCCGGAGCAGUAGUGCUGGGCUGGCAGGACUCCGGUGAACCGGGCUGUAGCGGACUACUAUGGCACAUGGAAGCACAAGACUACAUUUCCCCAUAAGAGAGGCUAUCAGAGGUAAACAACUAGGUUGUCGGAUCCCACACAUAGCAAUACAUGUUACACGUACGCAUAACAUGCAAGUAUGUGCUGUACAUCAUGGCAUCACAACAUAACUCAAACUCAUAUAGAUAAAGGCCCAGAAGAGCCACAUAGCUUUCAAUACAAACAGGGGUCUCAUGACCCAUCAUUCAGAGCAUACAAGCAACGGAAGCAUUACAUGUCUGAGUACAGAAAACUACAAAAGGAAAAUACUAAGAAGCCUGACUAAAAACGACCCUCCCAAGGGUACAAGAUCGUACCUGGGAUACAGGCUACUCGUCGAAGUCACUAGGUAACCAACUGCAAAACAUAAAUAAGCAAACGUGAGUACAAAGGUACUCAGCAAGUCUUACUUCAGAACUAUCUACAUAUGCAACAUUAUCAACAAAGGGGGUGGUGGAUUUUAACAGCAGCAAGCCAGCUUUGACUCAAUGGCUAAUCUAUACUACGAGUAUCAGAAACUUCUUUCAGGUGAGAAGACGCACACGAGUCCACAUAUUCACCAUAUCAAUACCCACUAUGGAUCCGUUCCCGUCUCCCUACGAAAAGGCCAUCCAUAGAACUCACGCUUAUCUUGCGGAUUUUAGAGUAUCCACUUCAAGUUGUCUAUGUACUACAUAAGUCCUCCAAGUUUCCAUAUCCGAGGAAAACGGCUAUUCGAAUAGAUAAUAUUGACCCUGCAGGGGUGUACUUCUUCACACACGCUCUCGCCACUUAUAGCCCUGUACACGUUAUGUACCUCGGCAUCCUUCAAGCGGAAGCCGGGCGAGGGUGUCGGCCAUGACCUGACUAACCACACAAGUCUCUCGUCUAGGUUUAUCGCCUAUUCGGGUUCCAUCCGCAAGGAGAUCCGGCCGGGGUGUCGCUCGCGGCCCCAAACGAUGUGUGCAGGGUUCCCAAGCCCACCAUCCGGGUGCCACUUGGUACACCGUGCCACAGUGCCUAGUCUGUCCCAAGCCUGUCUCGUCGGACACCACCUGGUAGACAAGUAGCACUACCUACAAAUGCCAGAAACUACUUGCAACUCCUGGACAGAGAUCAAGUGGAUUAAUAAGCCGAGAGGGGCUGGAUAACUGGAACCCAAUGUGUGGUAGUAACUGGACUUGGACAACAUACACAGAACUCAGUGCUUAAGGACGGUUCCAAUGAGACAACCCACCAAGUACUCCUACAUGGCCUCUCAUCGCUACCUUUACCAAAACGUGUUCACACACUUAGCCUUUACCGGUAGGACAUGUUCACCACUCCGAUUCAUUCCCGAUGAAUCAGACCUGACACAACUCUAAGCAUAGCUGGCAUAAAGAAAACAAGCAUGGAUGAGCAGGCACAUCAAGGCUCAAGCAACUCCUACUCAUGCUAGUGGGUUUCAACUAUUUACUGUGGCAAUGACAGGUCAUGCAGAGGAAUGGGUUCAGCUACCGCAGCAAAAAGUAGCAGUUUGAAUCGUUGUUGUCCUAAUGCAGUAAAAGGAGCAGGAGCGAGAGAGUGGGAUUUUAUCGAGAUGCUCAAGGGGGUUUGCUUGCCUGAUAGAUCGACGAAGAAGCACUGCUCCUCAGACAGGUACCCGGGACACCUUUUGGAGCAGAACCUAUCGAGAGGGAACGGUGCCGGCAAUCAAUAAACAACCAUAUGCAACAGUAUGAUGCAUGAAGAUGACAUUUCAAAGAUGCUAUGAUUUUCCCUAAUGCAUGUAGCAUUAAUUUGGUUGAAGUCCAUAUGAACCAAGGAUUCAUAUGCAAAUCCCAAAUUAAUUAUAUAACAUGCCAUUAUUACGUUUUCACUUAUACAGCAAGUAUAAGUUUGUUUUUCAUGCAUGAAACUAGCAUAAAUGGAUUCCCUGCAUUUUUCUAAUAAUUUUUCAUAUAUAAUUUAUUUGAUUUGGAGUUACGGUUGAAUUACUAUGAUUUUUAGAAGUUUUAACUAUUUUCUGGAAUUUCCUAAUUUAAAUUAAUUCCAGAAAUCAAUUAUUGCGUCAGCUCUAUGUCAGCAUGACGUAAGCGAGUCAACGAGCCUGACCAGGUCAAAUCUGACCAGUGGGUCCCACUGGUCAGUGACCCAGUCAACUAACUAAGUUAGUUAGUCCUAACUAACUGGCAGGGCCCACCAGUCAGUGACUGUAGUAGCUAACCUAGUUAGUUAAUUAGCGCUAACUAUAGUAAUUAGUCGGGCAGGGCCCGCAAGUCAGUGAGAGAGAGGGGGGGUCAAACUGGGCUGUGGGGUCAACCCACGCCGGUCAAAGGUCAGCGGUCGCCGGCGGUGAGCCGCCGGCGAGUCCGAACGCGGUGGAGCGCGUCGGGAUCGCGCUACAGACCACCGUUUGGAGCGUGGUUGGGUCCUAUGGAGAGCUGGGGCUGAGCCGCGUGUGUGGGUGGUGGAGCUGGACCAAAUGGUCGCCGGAAUCAACGCCGGCGAUGAGGUUUGUGGCGGCCGUGGUUCGGCCAUCGAUGAAAACGGAGCUACGGAGCACUAGGGGAGGAGAUGGUGAGUGCAUCGUGCUCCUAUGGUUGCGCUGAGCACGCUGAUGAGCUCGGACGCGGGUGGCAGCAGCUGUGGCCGCGGCGGCGCCAUGGACGGCGGCGGUGAGCUUCGGGCUCGACGGAUACAACGACUACAGUGGCCGUACAGGGAAAAGGAGAGGGGGAAUCGGUUCAGGGGCUCACGGGGAUCACGCAGGGAACGUCAGCGAGCUCGGGGAGGGGCCGGAGCAAGCCAGACAGCGAUGGAGAUCUCCGGCGUCGGAAGGUUGAAGACGACGGCGUGGAGGCGCUCGGGGGCGUCCGGCGCUGCGUGGCCUGGCGGAGAGGACUAGGGCGACGAGGCAGACCUCGUGGGCACGUCGGAGAGGCGAUUGGAAGGCGGUGGUCGCGGUGGCGCACGGCAGUGCUCUCCGAUGCGCUCGGGACAGAGGGGGAUAGCGAGACAGAGGAGAGGAGAGGAGCUCGGGGAGAAUGGAGAGAGACCAGGGGGCUCGGUGGAGCUCUCGGGGGUGGACAGUGCCAAGGAGGGAGAGGAGGCAGCAAGCAGCUGCCUGGCGGGCAUGCACGCUCGCCGUGCUCCCUUUCAUCGCUGCCUCCUGGCGAGGGAGACGACUGGCAAUGGCCAGUUGGGCUGGGCCACUGCUGGGCCGUGGUGGGGCGCCAGGUAAGCGUCAGGUAAGUGUUUUCCUUCUUCUAUUUUCUUUUUCUAUUUCUGACAUUUGUUUUGUAUUUAAAAGAAAUGUUAAAACAUUUCCAUAAAUGCUGAAAAUAACUGUGGCAUCUAGAUAUAAUAUUCUAGAGGCCCUCACCAAUUCUCAACAUUUUUGAAGCCAUUAAAAUAUUUAUAUAAUUUAAAUAGCUCCAAAUCAAAUAUUUAGGCAUUGAUUCAAAAAUCCAAAAUGUAUUGUAAAAAUGUGCAUCACCUCUGGUUGUUGUUCCCAACAUUAUCCAAAGAGCAUGAACAUUUUUGAAAAGCAUUUUGGGUUCAUUGAAAAUCCACUUUAAAGUUGAACCUAUUUGAAUUUGCUUUGGUGCUAGGGUUUGAAACAUCCCCAUUUCGAUUUCAUUUGAAAUUUAAACAUGAUGCACAAAGCAAGCCUAGGA
This 9499-nucleotide long non-coding RNA is filed under the name Triticum aestivum (bread wheat). Its description in RNAcentral is "long non-coding RNA (TAES_LNC009731)". Lineage: Eukaryota; Viridiplantae; Streptophyta; Magnoliopsida; Poales; Poaceae. The record is from RNAcentral.